This 273-nucleotide ribosomal RNA is filed under the name uncultured Eubacteriales bacterium. Its description in RNAcentral is "uncultured Clostridiales bacterium partial 16S ribosomal RNA". It matches the Rfam family "Bacterial small subunit ribosomal RNA", at positions 505 to 778 of the family's 1533-position model. Lineage: Bacteria; Bacillati; Bacillota; Clostridia; Eubacteriales. The record is from RNAcentral.
GUGCCAGCAGCCGCGGUAAUACGUGUGGAGCGAGCGUUGUCCGGAAUUAUUGGGCGUAAAGGGUACGCAGGCAGUUUAAUAAGUCGAAUGUUAAAGAUCGGGGCUCAACCCCGUAAAGCAUUGGAAACUGAUAAACUUGAGUAGUGGAGAGGAAAGUGGAAUUCCUAGUGUAGUGGUGAAAUACGUAGAUAUUAGGAGGAAUACCAGUAGCGAAGGCGACUUUCUGGACACAAACUGACGCUGAGGUACGAAAGCGUGGGGAGCAAACAGGAU